UACGUAGGGGGCAAGCGUUGUCCGGAAUCAUUGGGCGUAAAGAGCGUGUAGGCGGUUCGGUAAGUCGGCUGUGAAAGUCCAGGGCUCAACCCUGGGAUGCCGGUCGAUACUGCCGGACUAGAGUUCGGAAGAGGCGAGUGGAAUUCCCGGUGUAGCGGUGAAAUGCGCAGAUAUCAGGAAGAACACCGAUGGCGAAGGCAGUUCUCUGGGACGGUACUGACGCUGAGACGCGAAAGCGUGGGGAGCGAACAGG
Molecule: ribosomal RNA, 253 nt
Filed under: uncultured bacterium
Lineage: Bacteria
Description: partial 16S ribosomal RNA
Rfam family: Bacterial small subunit ribosomal RNA
Source: RNAcentral